This 590-nucleotide ribosomal RNA is filed under the name uncultured Nitrosomonas sp. RNAcentral describes it as "bacterial SSU rRNA". It matches the Rfam family "Bacterial small subunit ribosomal RNA", at positions 335 to 916 of the family's 1533-position model. The record is from RNAcentral. Lineage: Bacteria; Pseudomonadati; Pseudomonadota; Betaproteobacteria; Nitrosomonadales; Nitrosomonadaceae.
ACUCCUACGGGAGGCAGCAGUGGGGAAUUUUGGACAAUGGGCGAAAGCCUGAUCCAGCCAUGCCGCGUGAGUGAAGAAGGCCUUCGGGUUGUAAAGCUCUUUUAGUCGGAAAGAAAAGAUCGUAAAUAAUACUUGCGAUUAAUGACGGUACCGACAGAAAAAGCACCGGCUAACUACGUGCCAGCAGCCGCGGUAAUACGUAGGGUGCGAGCGUUAAUCGGAAUUACUGGGCGUAAAGGGUGCGCAGGCGGUUUUGUAAGUCAGAUGUGAGAUCCCCGGGCUUAACCUGGGAAUUGCGUUUGAAACUAUAAGACUAGAGUGCAAGAGAGGGGAGUGGAAUUCCAUGUGUAGCAGUGAAAUGCGUAGAGAUGUGGAAGAACACCGAUGGCGAAGGCAGCUCCCUGGAUUGACACUGACGCUCAUGCACGAAAGCGUGGGGAGCAAACAGGAUUAGAUACCCUGGUAGUCCACGCCCUAAACUAUGUCAACUGGUUGUCAGAUCUAAUUAAGGAUUUGGUAACGUAGCUAACGCGUGAAGUUGACCGCCUGGGGAGUACGAUCGCAAGAUUAAAACUCAAAGGAAUUGACGG